UGGCUCAGAUGGUAAAGCAUCUGUCUGAAAUGCAGGAGACCCAGGUUUGAUCCCUGG
This 57-nucleotide transfer RNA is filed under the name Bos taurus (domestic cattle). It matches the Rfam family "tRNA", at positions 8 to 63 of the family's 71-position model. Rfam says of the family: Transfer RNA (tRNA) molecules are approximately 80 nucleotides in length. Their secondary structure includes four short double-helical elements and three loops (D, anti-codon, and T loops). Further hydrogen bonds mediate the characteristic L-shaped molecular structure. tRNAs have two regions of fundamental functional importance: the anti-codon, which is responsible for specific mRNA codon recognition, and the 3' end, to which the tRNAs corresponding amino acid is attached (by aminoacyl-tRNA synthetases). tRNAs cope with the degeneracy of the genetic code in two manners: having more than one tRNA (with a specific anti-codon) for a particular amino acid; and 'wobble' base-pairing, i.e. permitting non-standard base-pairing at the 3rd anti-codon position. RNAcentral also lists the same sequence under 5 other names. The record is from Rfam by way of RNAcentral. Lineage: Eukaryota; Metazoa; Chordata; Mammalia; Artiodactyla; Bovidae.